Molecule: transfer RNA, 75 nt
Filed under: Moraxellaceae bacterium
Lineage: Bacteria; Pseudomonadati; Pseudomonadota; Gammaproteobacteria; Moraxellales; Moraxellaceae
Description: tRNA-Val
Rfam family: tRNA
About the family: Transfer RNA (tRNA) molecules are approximately 80 nucleotides in length. Their secondary structure includes four short double-helical elements and three loops (D, anti-codon, and T loops).
Source: RNAcentral
GGGCGGUUAGCUCAGCGGGAGAGCAUUGCCUUCACACGGCAAGGGUCGCUGGUUCAAUCCCAGUACCGCCCACCA